ACUCCUACGGGAGGCAGCAGUGGGGAAUAUUGCACAAUGGGCGCAAGCCUGAUGCAGCCAUGCCGCGUGUAUGAAGAAGGCCUUCGGGUUGUAAAGUACUUUCAGCAGUGAGGAAGGUGGGUAUGUUAAUAGCAUACUCAUUUGACGUUAGCUGCAGAAGAAGCACCGGCUAACUCCGUGCCAGCAGCCGCGGUAAUACGGAGGGUGCGAGCGUUAAUCGGAAUUACUGGGCGUAAAGCGCAUGCAGGUGGUUUGUUAAGUCAGAUGUGAAAGCCCGGGGCUCAACCUCGGAAUUGCAUUUGAAACUGGCAAACUAGAGUACUGUAGAGGGGGGUAGAAUUUCAGGUGUAGCGGUGAAAUGCGUAGAGAUCUGAAGGAAUACCGGUGGCGAAGGCGGCCCCCUGGACAGAUACUGACACUCAGAUGCGAAAGCGUGGGGAGCAAACAGGAUUAGAUACCCUGGUAAGCUCUGC
This 473-nucleotide ribosomal RNA is filed under the name uncultured bacterium. Its description in RNAcentral is "bacterial SSU rRNA". It matches the Rfam family "Bacterial small subunit ribosomal RNA", at positions 335 to 800 of the family's 1533-position model. The record is from RNAcentral.